CGGGGUGAGUAACGCGUGGAUAACCUGCCUCACACUGGGGGAUAACAGUUAGAAAUGACUGCUAAUACCGCAUAAGCGCACAGUACCGCAUGGUACAGUGUGAAAAACUCCGGUGGUGUGAGAUGGAUCCGCGUCUGAUUAGCCAGUUGGCGGGGUAACGGCCCACCAAAGCGACGAUCAGUAGCCGACCUGAGAGGGUGACCGGCCACAUUGGGACUGAGACGCGGCCCAA
RNAcentral lists this ribosomal RNA (232 nucleotides) under uncultured bacterium. Its description in RNAcentral is "partial 16S ribosomal RNA". It matches the Rfam family "Bacterial small subunit ribosomal RNA", at positions 104 to 334 of the family's 1533-position model. The record is from RNAcentral.